AGUGAACGCUGGCGGUAGGCCUAACACAUGCAAGUCGAACGGCAGCACAGUAAGAGCUUGCUCUUACGGGUGGCGAGUGGCGGACGGGUGAGGAAUACAUCGGAAUCUACUUUUUCGGGGGGGAUAACGUAGGGAAACUUACGCUAAUACCGCAUACGACCUACGGGUGAAAGCAGGGGAUCUUCGGACCUUGCGCGAUUGAAUGAGCCGAUGUCGGAUUAGCUAGUUGGCGGGGUAAAGGCCCACCAAGGCGACGAUCCGUAGCUGGUCUGAGAGGAUGGUCAGCCACACUGGAACUGAGCCACGGUCCAGACUCCUACGGGAGGCAGCAGUGGGGAAUAUUGGACAAUGGGCGCAAGCCUGAUCCAGCCAGACCGCGUGGGUGAAGAAGGCCUUCGGGUUGUAAAGCCCUUUUGUUGGGAAAGAAAAGCAGCAGGUUAAUACCCCGCUGUUCUGACGGUACCCAAAGAAUAAGCACCGGCUAACUUCGUG
Molecule: ribosomal RNA, 492 nt
Filed under: uncultured bacterium
Lineage: Bacteria
Description: partial 16S ribosomal RNA
Rfam family: Bacterial small subunit ribosomal RNA
Source: RNAcentral